AAUCAACGCUGGCGGCGCGCUUAACACAUGCAAGUCGAACGAGAAAGGGAGCAAUCCUGAGUAAAGUGGCGUACUGGUGAGUAACACGUGGAUAUCUACCUCUUGGUGGGGAAUAACCUGGGGAAACCUGGGCUAAUACCGCAUAAGUUCGUGAGAAGAAAGGCGCAAGUCGCCGAGAGAGGAGUCCGCGGUCGAUUAGGUAGUUGGCAGGGUAAAAGCCUACCAAGCCGAAGAUCGAUAGCCGGCCUGAGAGGGCACACGGCCACACUGGCACUGAAACACGGGCCAGACUCCUACGGGAGGCAGCAGUGGGGAAUCUUGCACAAUGGGGGAAACCCUGAUGCAGCGACGCCGCGUGAGCGAUGAAGCCCUUCGGGGGUGUAAAGCUCUUUCGGCAGGAACGAUAAUGACGGUACCUGCAGAAGAAGCUGCGGCUAACUACGUGCCAGCAGCCGCG
RNAcentral lists this ribosomal RNA (457 nucleotides) under uncultured bacterium. RNAcentral describes it as "bacterial SSU rRNA". It matches the Rfam family "Bacterial small subunit ribosomal RNA", at positions 32 to 519 of the family's 1533-position model. The record is from RNAcentral.